Molecule: ribosomal RNA, 720 nt
Filed under: uncultured bacterium
Lineage: Bacteria
Description: bacterial SSU rRNA
Rfam family: Bacterial small subunit ribosomal RNA
Source: RNAcentral
GAUGAACGCUGGCGGCGUGCCUAACACAUGCAAGUCGAGCGAUCUUCUUCGGAAGAGAGCGGCGGACGGGUGAGUAACGCGUGGGUAACCUGCCCUGUACACACGGAUAACAUACCGAAAGGUAUGCUAAUACGGGAUGACAUAUGAAAGUCGCAUGGCUUUCAUAUCAAAGCUCCGGCGGUACAGGAUGGACCCGCGUCUGAUUAGCUAGUUGGUAAGGUAACGGCUUACCAAGGCGACGAUCAGUAGCCGACCUGAGAGGGUGAUCGGCCACACUGGAACUGAGACACGGUCCAGACUCCUACGGGAGGCAGCAGUGGGGAAUAUUGCACAAUGGGCGAAAGCCUGAUGCAGCAACGCCGCGUGAGCGAUGAAGGCCUUCGGGUCGUAAAGCUCUGUCCUCAAGGAAGAUAAUGACGGUACUUGAGGAGGAAGCCCCGGCUAACUACGUGCCAGCAGCCGCGGUAAUACGUAGGGGGCUAGCGUUAUCCGGAAUUACUGGGCGUAAAGGGUGCGUAGGCGGUCUUUCAAGCCAGAAGUGAAAGGCUACGGCUCAACCGUAGUAAGCUUUUGGAACUGUAGGACUUGAGUGCAGGAGAGGAGAGUAGAAUUCCUAGUGUAGCGGUGAAAUGCGUAGAUAUUAGGAGGAAUACCAGUAGCGAAGGCGGCUCUCUGGACUGUAACUGACGCUGAGGCACGAAAGCGUGGGGAGCAAACAGG